This 490-nucleotide ribosomal RNA is filed under the name uncultured bacterium. RNAcentral's name for it is "partial 16S ribosomal RNA". It matches the Rfam family "Bacterial small subunit ribosomal RNA", at positions 30 to 507 of the family's 1533-position model. The record is from RNAcentral.
AUUGAACGCUGGCGGCAGGCUUAACACAUGCGAGUCGAGCGGUAGCACAAGAGAGCUUGCUCUCUGGGUGACGAGCGGCGGACGGGUGAGUAAUGUCUGGGAAACUGCCUGAUGGAGGGGGAUAACUACUGGAAACGGUAGCUAAUACCGCAUAACGUCGCAAGACCAAAGAGGGGGACCUUCGGGCCUCUUGCCAUCAGAUGUGCCCAGAUGGGAUUAGCUAGUAGGUGGGGUAAUGGCUCACCUAGGCGACGAUCCCUAGCUGGUCUGAGAGGAUGACCAGCCACACUGGAACUGAGACACGGUCCAGACUCCUACGGGAGGCAGCAGUGGGGAAUAUUGCACAAUGGGCGCAAGCCUGAUGCAGCCAUGCCGCGUGUGUGAAGAAGGCCUUCGGGUUGUAAAGCACUUUCAGCGAGGAGGAAGGUGGUGAACUUAAUACGUUCAUCAAUUGACGUUACUCGCAGAAGAAGCACCGGCUAACUCAGUG